This 354-nucleotide ribosomal RNA is filed under the name Triticum aestivum (bread wheat). Its description in RNAcentral is "partial small subunit ribosomal RNA". The record is from RNAcentral. Lineage: Eukaryota; Viridiplantae; Streptophyta; Magnoliopsida; Poales; Poaceae.
AUGGCGCCAGACAACUCGACCACCCUGCGCUCGUCCAUCCAGCCGCAUCCGUCAUCGAAAUGCAGCUGCACCAUGCCGCCAACACUCGUCGCCAAUGACGCGGUAGAUACAACGCCGCACCACCUAGCAACCUCCGCACCAUCGCCACUGCUGGAGCUACUCGGAGCCCACCAUCCACAACAUAUCUCUCCCGAACAGCUCCUCCCAAGAUGGCGCCUCCAUGGAGGAUACGACGCGCAGGACGCCGCUGCCGCCCAAUCCAGACUGAAUUUUGGACUUUCGUCUGGGAGGGGUUCAGGAGUGGAUAGGGGGGACCUCGGCUUCGCCUCCAGGAAGGGUAACGGCAUCAUGUGA